RNAcentral lists this ribosomal RNA (438 nucleotides) under Babesia microti. RNAcentral describes it as "SSU rRNA". It matches the Rfam family "Eukaryotic small subunit ribosomal RNA", at positions 439 to 901 of the family's 1831-position model. The record is from RNAcentral. Lineage: Eukaryota; Apicomplexa; Aconoidasida; Piroplasmida; Babesiidae.
AAUUACCCAAUCCUGACACAGGGAGGUAGUGACAAGAAAUAACAAUACAGGGCUUAAAGUCUUGUAAUUGGAAUGAUGAGAAUCUAAACCCUUCCCAGAGUAUCAAUUGGAGGGCAAGUCUGGUGCCAGCAGCCGCGGUAAUUCCAGCUCCAAUAGCGUAUAUUAAAGUUGUUGCAGUUAAGAAGCUCGUAGUUGAAUUUCUGCCUUGUCGUUAAAUUCGCUUCCGAGCGUUUUUUUAUUGACUUGGCAUCUUCUGGAUUUGGUUCCCUUCGGGGUUCUAUUUUCCGGGAUUUACUUUGAGAAAACUAGAGUGUUUCAAACAGGCAUUUGCCUUGAAUACUACAGCAUGGAAUAAUGAAGUAGGACUUUGGUUCUAUUUUGUUGGUUAUUGAGCCAGAGUAAUGGUUAAUAGGAGCAGUUGGGGGCAUUCGUAUUUAA